AUGCACGCUGGCGGCGUGCCUCAUCCCUGCAAGUCGCGCGCACAGACGAGGAGCUUGCUCCUCUGACGUUAGCGGCGGACGGGUGAGUAACACGUGGAUAACCUACCUAUAAGACUGGGAUAACUUCGGGAAACCGGAGCUAAUACCGGAUAAUAUAUUGAACCGCAUGGUUCAAUAGUGAAAGACGGUUUUGCUGUCACUUAUAGAUGGAUCCGCGCCGCAUUAGCUAGUUGGUAAGGUAACGGCUUACCAAGGCAACGAUGCGUAGCCGACCUGAGAGGGUGAUCGGCCACACUGGAACUGAGACACGGUCCAGACUCUUACGGGAGGCAGCAGUAGGGAAUCUUCCGCAAUGGGCGAAAGCCUGACGGAGCAACGCCGCGUGAGUGAUGAAGGUCUUCGGAUCGUAAAACUCUGUUAUUAGGGAAGAACAAAUGUGUAAGUAACUAUGCACGUCUUGACGGUACCUAAUCAGAAAGCCACGGCUAACUACGUG
This 496-nucleotide ribosomal RNA is filed under the name uncultured bacterium. RNAcentral's name for it is "partial 16S ribosomal RNA". It matches the Rfam family "Bacterial small subunit ribosomal RNA", at positions 29 to 507 of the family's 1533-position model. The record is from RNAcentral.